GGCGAGUGAAGCGGCAACAGCUCAAAUUUGAAAGCUAGCCUUCGGGUUCGCAUUGUAAUUUGUAGAGGAUGAUUUGGGGAAGCCGCCUGUCUAAGUUCCUUGGAACAGGACGUCAUAGAGGGUGAGAAUCCCGUAUGUGACAGGAAAUGGCACCCUAUGUAAAUCUCCUUCGACGAGUCGAGUUGUUUGGGAAUGCAGCUCUAAAUGGGAGGUAAAUUUCUUCUAAAGCUAAAUAUUGGCGAGAGACCGAUAGCGCACAAGUAGAGUGAUCGAAAGAUGAAAAGCACUUUGGAAAGAGAGUUAAAAAGCACGUGAAAUUGUUGAAAGGGAAGCGCUUGCAAUCAGACUUGUUUAAACUGUUCGGCCGGUCUUCUGACCGGUUUACUCAGUUUGGACAGGCCAGCAUCAGUUUCGGCGGCCGGAUAAAGGCUCUGGGAAUGUGGCCUCCACUUCGGUGGAGGUGUUAUAGCCCAGGGUGUAAUACGGCCAGCCGGGACUGAGGUCCGCGCUUCGGCUAGGAUGCUGGCGUAAUGGUUGUAAGCGACCCGUCUUGAANNACGGACC
Molecule: ribosomal RNA, 564 nt
Filed under: Aureobasidium proteae
Lineage: Eukaryota; Fungi; Ascomycota; Dothideomycetes; Dothideales; Saccotheciaceae
Description: eukaryotic LSU rRNA
Rfam family: Eukaryotic large subunit ribosomal RNA
Source: RNAcentral